Long non-coding RNA from Cyprinus carpio (common carp), 748 nucleotides. The record is from Ensembl. Lineage: Eukaryota; Metazoa; Chordata; Actinopteri; Cypriniformes; Cyprinidae.
GUCAGAUUCCCUACAGAUCAUCCCAAUAUGACAUGAAAGAUCUAAGAGAGCAGCUCGGCGUGUCAAACCUUGACGCGAGCCGGGGUGGCGAUGAAAAGGAAGAGUUGGAUGAACUUUGAUAGACAUCAGAAAUCUGGGAAACAAAAACAAGGUCUAAUUCUGCCAAGAAAGAGGAAGGAUAAAAAAGGAAGGCCGUUUCUUUUGGAGAUUAUGCAAGCGUGUUUGGAUGGGAAGGAGUUCAGAUAAUAAUGAAACAAUUAAAGGCUUUAAGGGCUUGACUGGACUGAUUACGCGGUCACCACACCCCGAACCCUUUCCUUCACAUGAUGCCUCAGGCUACAACGCCACACCCCACGAAAGUGCUCCCCCUCCUGAGUGGGACGGUCUCUGUGCAGGUGGGACAGUCACAGGUCAAUCAUGAAAACUUUGGUCAUCUGGGACAUUAAGAGAGUGUUGGAACCGGAGCCCAGAGGUCUGAUGUCGGAGUGAGAAGCUAUUGUUCAGCGCUACACACAAUCUGACCAAUCUGACCCUGCUUGCUGCUCAAAACACAACUGCUCCGUUUCUUUAUCAUUUACAUCUGGAGAACAAACAGUCCAGGAUGAAUUACACAUUGAACUUUAAUAAUAGAAGUUUUCACAAACUCCGGAGAUUUUGAGAUUUGCAUGUGUCGUAUCUUCAACUUUAUGCACAAUAACCUUCAAAGCAUGCAGGAAAACACAGACUCUUGUAUUCCAACAUUCUUCUU